GCAGCCGCGGUAAUACGGAGGAUGCGAGCGUUAUCCGGAUUUAUUGGGUUUAAAGGGAGCGUAGGUGGUCCGUUAAGCCAGCUGUGAAAUACUGUAGCUCAACUACAGCCGUGCAGUUGGAACUGGCAGACUUGAGUGCACAAGAGGAUGGUGGAAUUCAUGGUGUAGCGGUGAAAUGUUUAGAUAUCAUGAAGAACUCCGAUUGCGAAGGCAGCCGUCUGGGGUGCAACUGACACUGAUGCUCGAAAGUGUGGGUAUCGAACAGGAUUAGAUACCCC
Molecule: ribosomal RNA, 278 nt
Filed under: uncultured Bacteroidales bacterium
Lineage: Bacteria; Pseudomonadati; Bacteroidota; Bacteroidia; Bacteroidales
Description: partial 16S ribosomal RNA
Rfam family: Bacterial small subunit ribosomal RNA
Source: RNAcentral